RNAcentral lists this ribosomal RNA (253 nucleotides) under uncultured bacterium. RNAcentral describes it as "partial 16S ribosomal RNA". It matches the Rfam family "Bacterial small subunit ribosomal RNA", at positions 524 to 776 of the family's 1533-position model. The record is from RNAcentral.
UACGGAGGAUGCAAGCGUUAUCCGGAAUGAUUGGGCGUAAAGCGUCCGCAGGUGGCUAUGUAAGUCUGCUGUUAAAGAGUGAGGCUCAACCUCAUAAAAGCAGUGGAAACUACAUGGCUAGAGUGCGUUCGGGGCAGAGGGAAUUCCUGGUGUAGCGGUGAAAUGCGUAGAGAUCAGGAAGAACACCGGUGGCGAAAGCGCUCUGCUAGGCCGCAACUGACACUGAGACGCGAAAGCGUGGGGAGCAAACAGG